Molecule: small RNA, 92 nt
Filed under: Sinorhizobium meliloti 2011
Lineage: Bacteria; Pseudomonadati; Pseudomonadota; Alphaproteobacteria; Hyphomicrobiales; Rhizobiaceae
Description: putative ncRNA
Source: RNAcentral
AAUGGCCGUUAUUAUCCCAUGUCUGAUUGGUUUUGGCUGUUCCUCGCGGAACUCUAGGGCGCGCGUUUACCCCAUCGGGGAACGGCAGGAUG